GGAGAGGUGGCAGAGUGGUCGAAUGCGCGCGCUUGGAAAGCGCGUAUACCGCAAGGUAUCGGGGGUUCGAAUCCCCCCUCUCCGCCA
RNAcentral lists this transfer RNA (87 nucleotides) under Ereboglobus luteus. RNAcentral's name for it is "tRNA-Ser". It matches the Rfam family "tRNA". Rfam says of the family: Transfer RNA (tRNA) molecules are approximately 80 nucleotides in length. Their secondary structure includes four short double-helical elements and three loops (D, anti-codon, and T loops). Lineage: Bacteria; Pseudomonadati; Verrucomicrobiota; Opitutia; Opitutales; Opitutaceae. The record is from RNAcentral.